RNAcentral lists this ribosomal RNA (440 nucleotides) under uncultured bacterium. RNAcentral describes it as "partial 16S ribosomal RNA". It matches the Rfam family "Bacterial small subunit ribosomal RNA", at positions 338 to 795 of the family's 1533-position model. The record is from RNAcentral.
CCUACGGGGGGCAGCAGUGGGGGAUAUUGCACAAUGGGGGAAACCCUGAUGCAGCGACGCCGCGUGGGUGAAGAAGCGCCUCGGCGCGUAAAGCCCUUUCAGCAGGGAAGAAAAUGACGGUACCUGAAGAGGAAGCCCCGGCUAACUACGUGCCAGCAGCCGCGGUAAUCCGGAGGGGGCAAGCGUUAUCCGGGUUUACUGGGUGGAAAGGGGGCGCAGACGGCGAUGCAAGCCAGGAGGGAAAGCCCGGGGCCCAACCACGGGACUGCUGUUGGAACUGCGUGGCUAGAGUGCAGGAGGGGCAGGCGGAAUUCGUGGUGUAGCGGUGAAAUGCGUAGAUAUCAGGCGGAACACCGGUGGCGAAGGCGGCCUGCUGGACUGCAACUGACGUUGAGGCCCGAAAGCGUGGGGAGCAAACAGGAUUAGAUACCCUUGUAGUC